GAGGGUAUAGCUCAGUGGUAGAGCACGCACUUAGGAUGCACGAAGUCUUGGGUUCAACCCCCUGUACCUCCA
RNAcentral lists this transfer RNA (72 nucleotides) under Camelus dromedarius (Arabian camel). It matches the Rfam family "tRNA". Rfam says of the family: Transfer RNA (tRNA) molecules are approximately 80 nucleotides in length. Their secondary structure includes four short double-helical elements and three loops (D, anti-codon, and T loops). Further hydrogen bonds mediate the characteristic L-shaped molecular structure. tRNAs have two regions of fundamental functional importance: the anti-codon, which is responsible for specific mRNA codon recognition, and the 3' end, to which the tRNAs corresponding amino acid is attached (by aminoacyl-tRNA synthetases). tRNAs cope with the degeneracy of the genetic code in two manners: having more than one tRNA (with a specific anti-codon) for a particular amino acid; and 'wobble' base-pairing, i.e. permitting non-standard base-pairing at the 3rd anti-codon position. RNAcentral also lists the same sequence under 1 other name. Lineage: Eukaryota; Metazoa; Chordata; Mammalia; Artiodactyla; Camelidae. The record is from Rfam by way of RNAcentral.